CGUACAGUCAAUAAAAACAGAUGCUUCAUUUCCUUUCUUUCUUUAAUGAGACCAGUAAUCAAUGAACUGAGUGGGUGCUCUGAACCACACAGGUGUUUUCACUCAUGUUGCCUAAUUAGACCUCUUCUUUGGACUGUUGAUUAACUACUUAUCAUCAUUCUGAUUGGUUGACAGUGUUUUGUAGGUAAUCAGGUAAUUCCCAGCAGCUCUGGUGUACUCCAACCUGAUGAGAUAUCCAAUCAACCAGAAGAAUCGAUAACGCCUGUGUGGCUCUCUCUCUCUGCACCCACCAUGGCCGAUCUGUGAAGGGUGCUCGUCCAGUCGUUCAGUUGUUGUUGAGGACCCACCAUGAUGCUGAGGAGGAGACGCAGAAGAAGAAAAAAACUGACCCUCAAAAAUGACCCCAAUCAACGAGACACACUCUCCUCUGUGGCUGUGUGUGUGUAUUUUGUGCGUCCAUGUAUAAGCUAUGACAAAUUGAUUCAGCAGUGCCCUCUGCGCUGCUUGUGGCUGGUUAUGAGAAGCGGGUAAUGAUGCUUGUGAGACAGAAUUAAGAUCAAUUCGAUGUAAUAAUGCAGGGAAAAUAACACAAAGGCUAUUGCGUGCUGGAUAAAAGCAGACUUAUUACUAAUGAAAAGGAGGGAAAGUCUGACAUGGUGGUGAUUAUCUGACUGUUUAAUGGUCUUUUACAUAAUUAGCUUCGAAGCUAGAUGCAAUAUUUAUCUCGACCUAAAGAGCAAAACAAACAAAACAAAACAAACACAAAUCCAGACAAUAAAAAAAAACUCAAUGCAGGAUCCAACUUGCUUGUUUCCAUAGCUUUCAACCACAUCUCAUGGCCUUCCUCUAGAGUUGCUCAGCUGUCAUGGUGAAUGACAAAAGUUAAACUCUAAUUUUAAAGUUAUAUUAUUUAAUUUGAUAGCAUAAAUUUCAAGUUGGGGCGGCGGCGGUGCAGUGGUUAGUACUUCCGCCUCACAGCAAGAGGGUUGCAUGUUCAAAUCUGGCUUGAAGCCCUUCAUGUUCUCCCCGAGUUAGCGUGGGUUUUCUCCGGGUACUCAGGUUUCCUCCCACAGUCUUAAGACAUGCAUGUUAAUUGUUGACUCUAAAUUGCUCGUAGGUAUGAAUGUGAGCCUGAAUGGUUGUCUGUCUCUAUGUGUCAGCCCUGUGAUAGUCUGGCGACC
Molecule: long non-coding RNA, 1181 nt
Organism: Sebastes umbrosus (honeycomb rockfish)
Lineage: Eukaryota; Metazoa; Chordata; Actinopteri; Perciformes; Sebastidae
Exons: 3
Source: RefSeq, a predicted model, not a curated record